This 1484-nucleotide ribosomal RNA is filed under the name Emiliania huxleyi. Its description in RNAcentral is "partial Eukaryotic large subunit ribosomal RNA". It matches the Rfam family "Eukaryotic large subunit ribosomal RNA", at positions 1276 to 2777 of the family's 3401-position model. Lineage: Eukaryota; Haptophyta; Isochrysidales; Noelaerhabdaceae. The record is from RNAcentral.
GAGUGUGUAACAACUCACCUGCCGAAGGUACUAGCCCUGAAAAUGGAUGGCGCUCAAGCGGACCACCGAUGCGCGGCCGCCGGCGCGAGCGCGAGGCGCCGGCGAGUAGGAGGGCGCGGGGCUCGCGGCGCAGCCUUGGGCGCGAGCCUGGGUGAAGCGGGCCCCGGUGCAGAUCUUGGUGGUAGUAGCAAAUAUUCAAAUGAGAACUUUGAAGACUGAAGUGGAGAAAGGUUCCGUGUGAACAGCAGUUGGACACGGGUGAGCCGACCCUAAGAGACAGGAAAACUCCGCCGAACGCGGCUGGUUCUGUCAGCCCGUCCGUCGAAAGGGAAUCGGGUUAAUAUUCCCGAGCCAGCGCGUGGAUGGUGGGCGGCGACGCGAACGAACCCGGAGACGCCGGCGGGAGCCCUGGGAAGAGUUCUCUUUUCUUCUUAACUGCCUCCUGCCCUGGAAUCGGUUUAGCCGGAGCGAGGGCUACACGGCAGGCAAAGCACCCUAAGUCUUGGGGUGUCCGGCGCGCUCCCGACGGCCCGUGAAAAUCCGGGGGAGCGGUUCGUUCUCACGCCUGGUCGUACUCAUAACCGCAUCAGGUCUCCAAGGUGAACAGCCUCUAGUCGAUAGAGCAAUGUAGGUAAGGGAAGUCGGCAAAAUGGUUCCGCAACCUCGGGAGAAGGAAUGGCUCUGAAGGCUGGGCGCAGGGGUCCUAGGCUCGAGGCCGGCUGGCUGCGCGGGGACUACGGCCUCACGGCUGCGGAUCCCGCGCGGCCGUCCGGCGGACGGCCUAGGAGCGCUCCGGCUCUCCCUGCGCGACGAACAGCCGCUUCAGAACUGGCGCGGACAAGGGGAAUCCGACUGUUUAAUUAAAACAAAGCAUUGCGAUGGCCCGCGAGGGUGCUGACGCAAUGUGAUUUCUGCCCAGUGCUCUGAAUGUCAAAGUGAAGAAAUUCAACCAAGCGCGGGUAAACGGCGGGAGUAACUAUGACUCUCUUAAGGUAGCCAAAUGCCUCGUCAUCCAAUUAGUGACGCGCAUGAAUGGAUUCGUGAGAUUCCCACUGUCCCUAUCUACUGUCUAGCGAAGCCACAGCCAAGGGAACGGGCUUGGAAGAAUCAGCGGGGAAAGAAGCCCUGUUGAGCUUGACUCUAGUCUGUUACUGUGGAACGACUUGAUGGGUGUAGAAUAUGCGGGAGGGGCAACCCGACAGUGAAAUACCGCAACCGUCAACGUUGUUUUACUUACUCGGUGGCGCGGAGGGAGGCUCGCCUCACUUCUGGAUCCAAGCCGCUUCGUGCGCGCGAUCCGCGUCGGGGACACUAACAGGUGGGGAGUUUGGCUGGGGCGGCACGUCUGUUAAAAAAUAACGCAGGCGCCCGAUUUUGAGCUCAAUGAGAACAGAAAUCUCAUGUAGAACAAAAGGGUAAAAGCUGACUUGAUUUUGAUUUUCAGUAAGAAUACAAACCGAGAAAUCGUGGCCUAUCGAUCCUUU